CUGGUUGAUCCUGCCAGUAGUCAUAUGCUUGUCUCAAAGAUUAAGCCAUGCAUGUCUAAGUAUAAGCCCUUGUACGGCGAAACUGCGAAUGGCUCAUUAAAACAGUUAUCGUUUCUUUGAUAAUUACUUACUACUUGGAUAACUGUAGUAAUUCUAGAGCUAAUACAUGCGUAAAGGUCCAACUCCUCGGAAGGGCUGCAUUUAUUAGAUACAAAACCUACCCGGAGCUCGCUCCGGAACUUAUGGUGAUUCAUAAUAACUAAGCGAAUCGCAUAGGCUUGCCUGGCGAUAGAUCUUUCAAGUUUCUGACCUAUCAGCUAUCGACGGUAGGGUAUUGGCCUACCGUGGCUAUGACGGGUAACGGAGAAUUAGGGUUCGAUUCCGGAGAGGGAGCCUGAGAAACGGCUACCACAUCUAAGGAUGGCAGCAGGCGCGCAAAUUACCCAAUCCUGACACAGGGAGGUAGUGACAAGAAAUAACAAUGCAGGGCUUCACAGUCUUGCAAUUGGAAUGAGUAGAUUUUAAAUCACUCUACAAGUAACAAUUGGAGGGCAAGUCUGGU
Molecule: ribosomal RNA, 562 nt
Filed under: uncultured eukaryote
Lineage: Eukaryota
Description: SSU rRNA
Rfam family: Eukaryotic small subunit ribosomal RNA
Source: RNAcentral